This 458-nucleotide ribosomal RNA is filed under the name uncultured Methylophilaceae bacterium. Its description in RNAcentral is "bacterial SSU rRNA". It matches the Rfam family "Bacterial small subunit ribosomal RNA", at positions 924 to 1382 of the family's 1533-position model. The record is from RNAcentral. Lineage: Bacteria; Pseudomonadati; Pseudomonadota; Betaproteobacteria; Nitrosomonadales; Methylophilaceae.
CACAAGCGGUGGAGCAUGUGGUUUAAUUCGAUGAUGCGCGAAAACCUUACCUGGCCUUGACAUGUAGCGAACUUUCCAGAGAUGGAUUGGUGCUCGAAAGAGAACGCUAACACAGGUGCUGCAUGGCUGUCGUCAGCUCGUGUCGUGAGAUGUUGGGUUAAGUCCCGCAACGAGCGCAACCCUUGCCAUUAAUUGCCAUCAUUUAGUUGGGCACUUUAAUGGGACUGCCGGUGACAAACCGGAGGAAGGUGGGGAUGACGUCAAGUCCUCAUGGCCCUUAUGGCCAGGGCUUCACACGUAAUACAAUGGUCGGUACAGAGGGUUGCCAAGCCGCGAGGUGGAGCCAAUCCCAGAAAGCCGAUCGUAGUCCGGAUUGUAGUCUGCAACUCGACUACAUGAAGUCGGAAUCGCUAGUAAUCGCGGAUCAGCAUGUCGCGGUGAAUACGUUCCCGGGCCUU